UUAAAUAAACAGGUAUAUUCAGGACCAAUGCUUACAGAUAAAAGUGGGAGUAUGACCAACACAGGGUACAGUCAGCUGUGUUCCCAGCUGUCUUGAUCUGUGUUCAGUGAAAAGUGCUGGUGGCCUGGAAACCCUAAUGAACCUUCUUGGUGGUGCUAUAUGGAGCUGCUGUGGUACACCUAGCGCACACCUCACAUUUCCCACAAAGCAGGUGCUAAAUUUUUACUAAUGCCACGUUCUCCCUGCAGAAUUUCAACAUGCAAGUGUUGCAGUUGCAGAAAUUCUCCUGCUAUGACCCCUCUGUCCUCCCAUAAAAUUAUGCCUGAAUGGAACUGAAUGGUAUGAAUUUAGGCAUUUAUACCUAAUGCUGUGGCAACUGGAAUGAGUCAAAAUUAUUAUUAGAAAGGUGACUGGACAGAGAAGAUUGUUUGAGUGACCAAAGUGAAAAAAGCCAAGGAGCAGAACUGCUGUCCCAGUGGAGAACCCUAAGGAGGAAGACUGGAUACCCAUAUUUUGUAGCUGGCACCCUCCCCUUAAGUCUGGGAGUAAGUCACUCUGGCAAAGAAGCAGCAUUUCCAGAGGAUGCUGGGAUUUGUCCUCAAGGAAAAGUGUUUUCUGAUCACACCUAUCUUCUUCCCUGGCUGUAUCUACUCUCUUUUUCUCAUGUGUGUUGACUAAGACUGGCAUCAACAGCUAAGGUCCCGGAAUUUUUUCAAAUGAUUCAGGAGAUCUAAGGUUCACAUGGACAAGAGGGAGGCAGCUCUACCAAACACCUCUACGAAACUUGAUAGAAACUCCUUGGAAAAUAGUAUUGAAGAAUGCUUAUCCACGACAUGAAGACAUAUCAUAUCUGUGGAUCAUCAGGGAAGUUUUCCCAUGACUUCGGAUUUCAAAGCUACAGGUGGUCUGCAAGCAUGGCACUUCAAAGUGUAUUUUGAUUAAAUGAAGCAAUGUUUUCGUAAUAUGGAUCCCAGAUCUUUGAACUUUUUUCAGAUCAAUUCAGCCAACAAAGAUUCAAUUAGUUUCAGCUUUAGCUUAAGAGAUGAUUGCCCUGACGCGAGAUUUUCUAAAAUGACAAGAGGAACAGAUUGAUGUGAUAAAUGCUACAAUGACCUGUACAGCUGCACUCAC
Corapipo altera (White-ruffed manakin) is the source of this 1131-nucleotide long non-coding RNA. RefSeq lists it as uncharacterized. The record is from RefSeq and is a predicted model, not a curated record. Lineage: Eukaryota; Metazoa; Chordata; Aves; Passeriformes; Pipridae. The transcript has 10 exons.